Quercus lobata is the source of this 1655-nucleotide RNA transcript. RefSeq lists it as uncharacterized. Lineage: Eukaryota; Viridiplantae; Streptophyta; Magnoliopsida; Fagales; Fagaceae. The record is from RefSeq and is a predicted model, not a curated record. The transcript has 7 exons.
CCUCUUCUGCGUUUCUCCUUUCUCUUUUUCCCUACCUCUUUCGUUUUCCUUUUCUUUUUACCUCUACUGUUUUUCCCUAACCCUCAUCUUCUCCUUUUCAUCUCCCAAGCCAGCCUUGUUCUUUGUGCGCCAUGGCCAAGCCUCUCUUUCUUCCAAUAACGCCCAUUCUUCUCCUUGCUUGUCUCUGUCGAUCUCAUGGACUUAGAUUUGUGUAUAUGUACCAGCAAUACAUGAGAAGAAGACGAAGAAAACGGCACCAUUGUGGCUUUGCUGGCGGCAUUCAAGCACUUCGGGCACAUGUUGCUGAACUACUUAUAUUGCCAAAGAAUUUGAAACGGAAGGAUUUCGAAAGAUUUAACCAAUUGCAUGUGUUGGAUGGGAAGGGUCAGCACAUGAGACAAGAAUAUUUUUAAAUUGUCUCAAUAAUGAGAGCGACAACUUUCCAAAAUCUCCACUUGGUUUGUAUUGUUGAAUUUUAAUUAAUGUAUUAGAAGUAUGUGUUAUGAAGUGAAAAUGUUAAUGUAAUAAAUAUUCUCAUUUGCAUGAAAAUAUUAUCCACCCACUCUACCUUCGUAGUAAAAAUAGAUACUGAUGUAUUGGAUGAGCAUCCCCCUCAUCAGCCCUCACCCCCACAAGUUAGGCCGUAACGUACUAGAAGAGCACCCACUUGUGGGACAGGUGGACACAAAAUAGGACACAAAGACAGUUCUAUGCACGAUGAUGAGCUUGAGGAUGAUGUCCGGAUAAUGUCCCGCAGCCUUUUCCACCGCCCAAACAUUACACGAGGUUUAAUAAAUGCAAAAUUGGUUAGUCUACAAUCUAAGGUACUGCAAACACAUACAGAUGAAGUUUGGUUUUUGGAAUUUUCGCAUAAUUGGAAAUGUCUCGUACAUCAUCAAAAGAUCAAUCAGCAAUUAUAUGGGAGAGGAACUAUUCUGGAUUCAGGAGGUAGUCAGGCAAGUUUCUUGAUGCAAGCCUUUAUCUUAACCAAGCGUUCAUUCCUCAACAUGUCAAGGGGACUUUGGAUAUUACUGGCUUAGGCUUGCAAUUUACAUUGUAGUCACUAUCUGCAUUGGGACCAUCUAUUUGAAUGUCGGGACAAGCUACACUUCAAUUCUGUUGUUGGCUCUAAAAAAUAGAGACACAAAUGAAGUUGGGGUUAAAUGCAUCAAGAAAGAAGCUGAGGGUUCUUGGAGCAGUCACAGUUAAUCAGUCGCCACUUAUUCCCUUCAUUCCUUAGGCCUACAAGCAUGACCCAACUCCUCCUCCAAGGACCAGAUCUCCAAUCCUUAAAAAUUGACCACAUGGCUCAAGAUGAAAGCUUCUGCAACAAGCAUGACCCAACUCCUCCAAGGACCAGAUAAACAUAACUUUUGGCCAUGGCCAUUGAAGUAAAAUUCAAUUCUCAAACAAAGUAAUCCACAAUUUACUUGUUCAUCUAUGAGUUGGGUGUUUGAAUUCAUAUUUUGGCACAGUAGAUUGGUGUAUAGAUUUAAACAUAUCUAGCGCUGCUCAGUUGGGCUACAAAUCAGUAUGGGAAAUUGAUUAAACUGUGGAAAUUACAUACUUUCUUGCCCAUCAGUCAGUGAAAUGUGAUAUAUAUGCUAGGUUGAAUCAUACUCUCUUUUGUUUAAUUAUUAAUUCUUAGUGGUUCA